GCGGUUAUCCCUGGAAUGUCUGGGCAGGGGCUGUAAAAUUGGAAUAGGUCCCCCCCCACUCCUUAAUGUGGUGGCAGAGACCCCUGAGGGGAUGUGCAGAGGGCCUUGGUUCUCGGCUGGGCUGUGGAGCUGGGCACUCAGGGAGUUUCACAUAGCCACGAAGCUGCUUUCUCAGGCUCCUCUGGCAGGGAGCGUCAGGAUGAGAAUCCAGACCUGACUGCCACCCAGCCCUCUCACUUUGCAGAUGCAAAAAUCCAGACUCAGAAAGGGAGGUAACUUCUCCAACAGGGCGGGGUCUGAAGCCCAGGGUCCCGACCCCACCAAGCUGGCCCUGCAGGAGCCUCCUGAGAGGUGUCUCGGGAGCAGACCCAGGGGAAGGGGGCACUGUGCACUCUCGCCAGGUAGGCAAAAGUCUGUCUGCUUCUCGGCAGCUGUGUGGCUUCAAAGCCCAGACAGCAGGGACUGAAGACUGAGCAAGCCACCCCUCUCCUGUCCCAGACCCAGCUGAACCAACCAAAGCUGGGAAAGGAGGGGUAGUGGAGACUCCAGAAAAACAGGAAAAAUUUAAACACAACCACUAAGUAAAGCAUCAUUAACUCCUGUUGUGCUGAGCCCACAAACAGCCCCAGCACUCACUGUUCUACUGUCUGUCGCUGUGCAUUUGACAACUCUAGGGACCUCAUCAUAUAAUCAUGAUGUAACAUGUCUAUGGGAGGAUUAUGACAUGGGUAGAUGAGAGUCCCCAGCCAUGGAGGUGACAAUGUGCCCUGGAGCCUCACAAGGCAGCAGCCACCAGGAAGAGGCAUGGAGGCCAGGAAGUUCCUGGAACACCAGAAUUUGGCCAACAGAGCCUGAAGCCAGCACAUCGUGGAGGGGCAGCAGCCUGGGGGCAUUCGGGAGACCUGGAGAUGUGGCAGCUGGCCAGGAGCUGGGGGUGAACCCAGUUGCCUCCCCUUGGAACCGGAUGAAGCCCCAGAGGCACGUAGUCCUUUUUCCCAGACGGGGGUCCUGGUCCUGUUUCCCUGGGAAUAAGGCUUGAGCAUGAGCUCUCUGGGACCCAGCCCCCGACCAGAACCACACCGUGCAUUCAGGCUUGGGAGGAACUGGAGCACCAGGGAGCCAAGGCUGCAACUUUGAACAUUUGCCACUGCUGACAUCGUGGCCACCCACCUGGGGCCAGAAAGAGCCCCUCCGCUGCCCCCAGAGCAUGGGUGAAGAGACGAACGCUUAGCCUACUACCUCCUCUCAUGCCAGGCCCAGCUGAUGGGAAUAUUUUGCUGAGAUAUUUCUAGCACCAGCAGCAAUUAAAGCAGAUUUUCUCUUCCACUCCCCUUCCCCAAAACAAGAAUAAAUCAGUUCUACCAA
Long non-coding RNA from Pan troglodytes (chimpanzee), 1365 nucleotides. RefSeq lists it as uncharacterized. The record is from RefSeq and is a predicted model, not a curated record. The transcript is spliced from 4 exons. NCBI's taxonomy places the organism in Eukaryota, Metazoa, Chordata, Mammalia, Primates, Hominidae.